AUGAGUGAAACAAAAGAAGCCGAACAUGAACUGGAAGAAAAAAGAUCUGCGAAAUUGACGGCUAAAGCGCUUGCUAUUAAAAUGGAAACUUUGCAGAAAGAGCGAAAGUCUCAUGUUAACAAGAUUAAAGGGUUAACACGCGAUAUUAAAGAAUUGAUGAAAAAGGAUGACAAUGCAAAAGCUGUGCAGCUUAACUUGGAAAAACUGAAUGAUUUGUAUGAAAAUGCCAAAGCAGUUCAUGAUGCAUUCAUUUUAUUGAUUCCUAAAGAUGAACAAGACGCUCAUAUUGAUUGGUUUGGACGCAUAACAAAAUGUAAUGACGAUUUUGUUGAAGAUGCGAAGCAGUGGCUUAUUGAAGCUGGAAGACCUGUUAUGGAAAAAGGCAAUGAAGUUGAGAAUGUGCCUACUGCUGUUACUUUAGGUUUGCCCGUUUCUGCUGAGACUGUUUUAUCCAAGGAGAUGGUUUCUUCCACAAACGAUAAACAUAACAUCUUAACAUCUCCAAAGCAGGUUAAAACAGAUUCUGACAUACAAGAUGAAAUACAGCCAGAUGACAGUGUUUCAAACGUAGGAAGCAAAAAGAGUAAAAGCAGUUCUUCAAGCUCAAACUCCAGAGCCUCAAGUACAACAUCAGCACGAAUAAUGGCUGAAGCUGAAGCAGCUGCACUGAUGGUAAGGCAAAAACUGCUUAAGGAUAAACACGCCUUGGAGGAACAUGAAGCACAGUUAAGGAGACAGCGAGAGCAACUGGAGCUGGAAACAAAUAUAGCUGCCACGGUAGCAAAAAUGAAAGCACUGGGAGGCUCAAAAGGAUCCAGUAUUAAAAGUAAACUAUCAAAAAUAUCAGACGGUAUGGAGUCAUAUUUUGAAAAGGGACAAAAAGUAACUCAAGUGUUGAAUACUCGUCCUGGUAAUCCUGUACAUGAAAGGCAACAUGUGCAUAUCUUUAAGGAGCAUAAUGUUGCAGACUCACAAUCUCUCUUAACCACAGGCAGAGUUCCAACACAACCACAGACUCUUUCUGAAGAUCCCUUAACAUAUCAGUCAAACAUUAGAAAUUCACAUGAAGAUAAAUAUGUACCUUCUCAAAUUUCUAGUCAUGAAGAAGACUGUAACAUCUUAUCUGUCAUGAGUAAGCAAAAUGAACUCACUGCUUUAUUAAUUCAACAACAUAGUCUUUCUUCAUUACCUAAAAAGGAGAUCCCAGUUUUUGAUGGAGAUCCACUUCAGUACCAGACUUUUAUUAAAUCGUUUGAACACAACAUUGAAAGCAGAAAUAAAAACCCUGGAGACUGUCUUUAUUAUUUGGAACAAUACACAAAGGGUCAACCAAGAGAACUCGUAAGGAGUUGCCUACACAUGACUUCAGAAGCAGGAUUCAGAAAGGCAAAGUCUUUAUUACGGCAGCAUUUUGGUAAUGAACAUAAACUUGCCACGGCUUACGUGAGCAAAGCACUUGCUUGGUCUUCCAUAAAAGCAGAGGACACGAAAGCUCUUCAGGCUUACACAAUAUUUCUUAGAGGCUGUUGCAAUGCUAUGGUGGAUCUCAGUUAUAUGCAGGAGCUAGACAUGCCUGCCAACAUGUUAGCUAUAACAAAGAAACUUCCUUACAGACAGAGAGAUAAGUGGAGAACUGCAGUCAGUGAUUUCCAUGAGAAGUGUAAUCGACAAGCUACAUUUAAGGAUCUUGUUGAUUUUUUGGAAAAACAAGUGAAGAUCGCAUCCGACCCAGUGUUUGGAGACAUUAAGGAUAUCUGCACGACAAACAGAGACACAAGAAAACUUAAGUCUCAAACUCACACAAGAUUCAAAGAAAGUUCUUUUGCUACCUCUGUGAUGGCAUCUGAAAAAGAAAAUAGCAAGGUUAAGGAAAAGGAAAGAACCACACAAAUGAGUUGCUUGUUUUGCAAAGGUGAACAUACCUUAGAAAAUUGUCAAGAGCUGGAAAGAAAAACACAAAAGGACAAAAUCACUUUUCUAAAAGAGAAUGGAAUCUGUUUCGGAUGUCUUUGUAAAGGACAUAUUAGUAGAGACUGCAAAAGGCGCCUCAGUUGUAAGGCAUGUGGUUUAAAGCAUCCUCAAAUGUUACAUAUCUAUCAAAAGACAAUGAGUAAAGAACAAGAAUCAAAGGAACAAACUCAAGAUCGUGCCGUAGUCUCUAUUCAGACCAGUGCUCUUACUGGGGCCGGUAAAGAUGAAUUCAAACUUUCAAUCGUGCCUGUGAAAGUUAAGGCCAAGAAAGGAAAUGUAACAUUGUACACCUAUGCAUUUCUUGACCCAGGCAGUACUGCAUCAUUUUGCACAGUGAAGCUGAUGAAUAAACUGAAAAUGCAUGGAAGAAGAUCCAACAUUCUGCUGAGAACUAUGGGACAAAAUAAAGUUGUUGAAACGGAUGUUAUUGCAGAUUUGGAAGUUGCUGGACUAGACGGGAAUGAGUUUUGUGAUCUUCCCAUUCUUUAUACUCAGUUCACUAUGCCUGUGCAUAAAGGAAACAUUCCUCACCAGAAAGAUAUAAUCCGGUGGCCAUAUUUAAGGUCUGUACAUCUGCCAGAAAUUGACUCUGAAAUUGAUUUGCUAAUUGGCUCGAAUGUGCCAAAGGCUCUGGAACCACUGGAUGUCAUUAGAAGUAUUGGAGAUGGACCGUAUGCUGUUAAAACUGUCCUUGGCUGGAUAGUAAACGGACCUUUGGGUGAGACUCAAACGGAAGCUCACAAUCAGCCACAGAUAAGUGUCAAUAGAGUUUCAGUGGUGAAACUUGAUGAGCUGUGGAAUCAGCAGUUUAAAACUGAUUUUCCAGAGUGUGCCAGAGAUGAGAAGGAACCUUCUAAGGAAGACCAACAGUUUUUAGAUAAAGUUUCCAAUACUGCUAAGCUACAUAAUGGUCAUUAUUAUAUUGGACUCCCAUUGAAAGACUUAAAGGUCUGCAUGCCAGACAAUAAAAGUGUUGCUGAACAACGCCUUCAGAAUCUGAAGAAAAGACUUAUGAAGAACUCUUCUUUUCUGCAGGACUAUAACAGCUUUAUGGCAGAUAUGAUUUCUGAAGGUUAUGCAGAAAAGGUACCAGAGGACAACCUAGAACGGACGGAUGGCAGGAAAUGGUAUUUGCCGCACCAUGGUGUUCUGCAUCCGCAAAAGAAAACCCUUAGAGUGGUGUUUGACUGUGGAGCCAAGUACCAAGGAGUGUCACUAAAUAGCAAGCUCUUACAAGGUCCAGACUUGACCAGCACGUUAAUUGGAGUUCUGACAAGAUUUCGUAAAGAACCUGUUGUCAUUGCUGCAGACAUUAAAGCCAUGUUUCAUCAGGUUAAAAUACCAGAGGAGGAUCGAGAUAUGUUGAGAUUCCUUUGGUGGCCCAACGGAGAUUACACUCAAGCCAUGGUUGAACAUAGGAUGACAGUACAUGUGUUUGGAGCAACAUCAUCUCCCAGUUGUGCAAAUUUUGCACUAAGGAAAUGUGCUGAAGAUCAUAAACAACAGUUUAGCCUUCAAGCCGUGGAUGCAAUGUUGAACAACUUUUACGUCGACGAUUGUCUCGUCUCAGCAGCCACAGAAGAGGAUGCGAUAGAUCUCUAUCAUGAACUCUGUGCCAUAUGCUUGAAAGGAGGCUUUCCAUUGAACAAAUGGAUAAGUAACAGUCGUAAUGUGUUGGCGGUAAUACCUGAAAGUAACAGAGCAAACAAAAUAAAAGAUCUAGACUUGAUCAGUGAUGUGCUUCCAGUGGAAAGAGUUUUGGGCGUUCAAUGGUGUGUUGAGUCUGACGUUUUCAAGUUCAGAAUCACUCUAAGAGAUCGACCUUUGACAAGACGUGGCAUCCUUUCUGUAGUCAGCUCUGUUUAUGACCCUCUAGGAAUGUUGGCACCAGUAAUCUUAAAUGCUAAGAAAAUACUGCAAAAUCUGUGUCGUAAAAAGAUUGGAUGGGAUGAUGCAUUACCCGAUACAGUUAUGCAGGAAUGGACUAUUUGGAUGCAAGAGCUCUACAAGCUGGAGGAGUUUAAGGUUGAUCGUUGUUUUAAAACCAACAGUUUUGGAACUGUAAAAACUGCUCAGUUACAUCAUUUUGCAGAUGCAUCCGAGGAUAGCUAUGGAACAGUAACUUAUUUGUUACUAAAGAACGAACGAGACCAGGCACACUGUGCAUUCAUUAUGGGGAAGGCACGUGUUGCUCCUUUAAAACCAGUUACAAUCCCUCGAAUGGAGUUAACUGCUGCCACCUUAGCAAGCAGAAUGGAUGUAAUGUGGAAGAAGGAGCUGCAGAUGGAACUGAAGGACUCAGUAUUUUGGACUGACAGCACCUCUGUACUAAAAUACAUCAACAAUGAAACAACAAGGUUCCGCACUUUCGUUGCCAACAGAGUUUCAGAGAUUGUCAAAGUUUCAAAUGCUCAACAAUGGAGAUAUGUGGACACGGAUAACAAUCCAGCAGAUUUGGCUUCUCGAGGUUUAACGGUACAAUCCUUUUUGAAAAAUAAACAAACUUGGCUCUCUGGACCUCCAUUUCUUCUACUACCACAAGAGGAGUGGCCUCAGAAUCCUGAUGAAGUGAACCAAAUCUCAUCAAACGAUGCAGAAAUUAAGGCAACAGUGAAUGCCGUUCAGACGUCACAAGAAAUGGAUCCGGUUUCUCACUUCAUUCAAUAUUUUUCAUCCUGGACUCAGUUGAAGCGUGCAGUGGCAUGGAUUCUGAGAGUUAAAAAACUGCUGCUGCAUUACAGUAGAAGAAAACAACAAAAACAACACGAUCCUGAUCAAAAUCUUGAACUUCAAUCGAAGAGACACUGUCUGGACACCAGCAGUCUCAAAGUUGAGGAGCUGAUUAGCGCUGAAAUGGCUAUAAUCUCCUUUUGUCAAAGGAAGCGAUUUGCUGAUGAAAUCUCCUGUUUAACAAAAGGAUCGAAUGUUAAGAGAACCAGUCACAUUUAUAAACUUACUCCCAUCCUGGAAGAAGGUGUGUUGAGAGUUGGUGGACGACUCAGUAGAACUGCAAUGCCAGAAGAGAGAAAACAUCCUGUUAUUCUGGCCAAAGACUUCCACAUUUCUAACCUAAUCCUUCAACAUGUCCAUGAAGCGGUGGGUCAUGGAGGUCGUAACCACAUGUUAUCUAAACUGCGUCAAAAAUACUGGAUUCCAGGUGUCACAGUACCUAUAAGAAAAAUUGUGGCUAAAUGCGUUGUGUGUCGGCGCGUAAAUGCCCCACCAGGACAACAGCAAAUGGCAGACCUGCCCCUACACAGAGUAACUCCUGAUGAACCACCAUUCACGUAUGUUGGAGUGGACUAUUUUGAACCGUUUCUAGUGAAACGUGGAAGGACUACUGUAAAAUGCUAUGGUGUGAUAUUCACAUGUUUAGCGUCAAGAGCCAUUCAUAUUGAAAUGGCAUCAUCACUGGACACAGACUCUUUUAUCAAUGCCCUUCGUCACUUUAUUGCCAGACGUGGUCAAGUAAAAGAACUGCGAUCUGACAACGGCACCAACUUUGUGGGAGCCCAUCGUGAGCUGAAGGAAAUGAUAGCGGAUUGGAAUCAACAUCGUAUACACAAUACCCUCCUUCAAAAAGGCAUUAAAUGGACUUUCCAUCCCCCAGCUGGCUCACAUUUUGGAGGUGUA
Molecule: long non-coding RNA, 5604 nt
Filed under: Oreochromis niloticus (Nile tilapia)
Lineage: Eukaryota; Metazoa; Chordata; Actinopteri; Cichliformes; Cichlidae
Description: lncRNA (ENSONIG00000034895.1)
Source: RNAcentral